CUUAAAGAGAUAAAAAAAUAAAAGUAUUAGUAGCUAAUUGUCGAUCAAAUUUUUUUUUGUUCUUUGUUUGUUUCUUUUCUUUUUUAUUGAAAACUUUUCUAAAACUUUUCGUUAUCU
RNAcentral lists this non-coding RNA (117 nucleotides) under Chrysotila carterae. Lineage: Eukaryota; Haptophyta; Isochrysidales; Isochrysidaceae. The record is from RNAcentral.